Molecule: ribosomal RNA, 116 nt
Filed under: Bacillus mesophilus
Lineage: Bacteria; Bacillati; Bacillota; Bacilli; Caryophanales; Bacillaceae
Source: RNAcentral
UUUGGUGAUGAUGGCGAAGAGGUCACACCCGUUCCCAUUCCGAACACGGAAGUUAAGCUCUUCAGCGCCGAUGGUAGUUGGGGCAUUGCCCCUGUGAGAGUAGGACGUCGCCAAGC